GAUGAACGCUAGCUACAGGCUUAACACAUGCAAGUCGAGGGGUAGCAGGGUAGCAAUACCGCUGACGACCGGCGCACGGGUGAGUAACACGUAUCCAACCUUCCCAUAACUCGGGGAUAGCCUUUCGAAAGAAAGAUUAAUACCCGAUAGUACUUUUUCAAGGCAUCUUGAAAAAGUUAAAGAUUUAUUGGUUAUGGAUGGGGAUGCGUUCCAUUAGAUAGUUGGUGAGGUAACGGCUCACCAAGUCUUCGAUGGAUAGGGGUUCUGAGAGGAAGGUCCCCCACACUGGUACUGGGACCAGGACCAAACUCAUACGGGAUGCAGCAGUGAGGAAUAUUGGUCAAUGGGCGAGAGCCUGAACCAGCCAAGUAGCGUGAAGGAUGAAGGUCCUAUGGAUUGUAAACUUCUUUUAUAGUAGAAUAAAGUGAGCCACGUGUGGUUUUUUGUAUGUAUACUAUGAAUAAGGAUCGGCUAACUCCGUGCCAGCCGCCGCCGUAA
Molecule: ribosomal RNA, 498 nt
Filed under: uncultured bacterium
Lineage: Bacteria
Description: partial 16S ribosomal RNA
Rfam family: Bacterial small subunit ribosomal RNA
Source: RNAcentral